Alosa sapidissima (American shad) is the source of this 4670-nucleotide long non-coding RNA. RefSeq lists it as uncharacterized. Lineage: Eukaryota; Metazoa; Chordata; Actinopteri; Clupeiformes; Clupeidae. The transcript has 2 exons. The record is from RefSeq and is a predicted model, not a curated record.
AUAAAUGUGUGUGUGAGAAAACAACUGAUUGUCUCUUGGGUGCACAGACUUUGUCUCUGUAUCCUGAUAGCCUGAUGCUUAUGAGACCUCUCUGCGCAGAGAUUAAUAAACUACUAACAAGAAAGACAAACCUUAUUUCAGACUUCAGGUUUUUACAGACCUUUAAGCUAAAAAUUCUUCCACAUACAUGGCGACGAGGAUGGGAUUCCUUGGCUGACAACGUCCGGAAUUCAAGGCAAAGGUGACGGAUCAUCCUGGGACAAAUUCCCCAGCCCCAUUGUCUCCAAGUUGAGACCAGAGUGGGGACCUAGCCUGAGGACCGGACCGUCUCCACAGGAAUCCCAAGCAAGAAGGAAGAGGGCAAGGAUCUACAAGGGCACCUCAACCAGAGAGGGUUCAAGCGGAGCUAGUAAUCAAGGAUCUACAAGGGCACCUCAACCAGAGAGGGUUCAAGCGGAGCUAGUAAUCAAGGAUCUUUGCCUCAACCUGUUUAAACGUUCCCCAGUGUGUGACGGUGGACCCUGACCUCGACUGCUUCCACCCCCGCCUCCGCCACCACCACAACCACCACAAGUCCUGCCAGCAAACCCUGGAUUCUCAGCGGCCCUGGAGAAUACUCAGGGGCGCGCUGAGCCAUCAUCAUACAGCCAACAGCAACGACAACUAUCUCCUGAUUCCACAACGCACACGCUGACGACUGACAACCAAAGAUCAAUAGUCCAAUGGCAGUCUGAAGACAAUGACCGAUUCUAUGACUCCAGGGGUCAGUUCUCCGACGUUGAGGAGGAUGAACCUACUUCAUCGAUGAGUCCCCUCAACCCUUUUGUAAGAGGGGGAGAGGGGGGGGCGUCUGAGCACACCCAAGGCUAGCCUGACGAGCCAGACCCACAUUAAAAUGUAGGGUCUGGAAACUCACCGUUCGCAGUGUUCAGUCCGAAGGGGCGGGAUAAUCAGGUGUCUUUCAAAUUCCCUCUGCAUGCAAUAGGACAGCGGCAGCGCUAUGAGUCAAUGGCUAUUGCCACAGCAUAGUCCUGUGAGUGUGUCCCUCCUUGAGGAGGCUAAAAAUAGAAUGCUCAAUGGCCGGGUUGUUUUUGUGCCAGAAGAUGAAUUACAUUGUACCGCUCAUUUGGCCUUGGAGCCAGACUCACAGUUUGAAGUGAGAUGGGACAAAGUCACCCAGCCAGAGGAAUUGAUCAUAACAGCCCUGAUAUGGUCAACUCAUGUCUGUUUUGCUCUGGUCACUUUGUCAGAAAAUCAGUUAUCUUACUUUGAUGUUUCCCAUGCUCUUCCCCAUAUCUUGCUUGCAAAAAGGGAAUCAGAUAGGUGGGAGGACUUGGGGCGCUUGGCGGAUGACUGUAAGCAUGUGAGUGAUCGGAUACAAAUCUCAGAGAGUUUGUGAUUUAGCAAGAGUCUGACAAUGUAAAACCAUGUUUUGGUGUGGUAACACAUGCGCAGCGAACUGUGAGACUGUUUUCACUUUCUACUGACACUGACUAUCACAUGUUGACUGAGACUGAGGCUGCAGCCAUUCCAGCACUACAGAAGGUCCCUAUGACUCUGUGGGCAAAACUCAGAUACCGGUAUGACGUUGGGUUAAUUAAAGACGAUAAACCAGAGGUGAUCACCCCCAAAUCUGACUGUAGGCCGUGCCAACCCUUCAGACCACCCCAACUUUGGACCUUCCCAAUCCUGACAAGCCUUUUACUAUUGAUGAAAAGGGGGGACACAUGUCUUCUGUUCUUUUACAGGACCAUGGAGGGAGACAGCGCCCUGUUGCUUAUUUUUCUGCUAAACUUGAUCCUGUGGCGGCAGGGCUGCCCUUGUGUCUCAGAGCGCUGGCAGCAACUGCAAAGUCUGUGCUAGCCUCUAGAGACAUUGUAGCUUAUUCACCUCUCACUCUGUUGGUUCCUCAUGCUGUAUCUCUCAUACUCCUUGAACAACGCACCUCUCACCUCUCUGCAGCACGACAUCUCCGUUAUCACGCAUGGCUAAUAUCACAAUACAGAGGUGCACAGUUCUUAACCCUGCUACUCUUCUUCCCACAGCUGAUGAUGGUGAGCCACAUGACUGUGUGGCCGAACUUAAUCAUGUGUGUUCCCCCAGAGUUGUCCUUGCUGAUAUGCCACUGCCAAAUGCUGAACUGUAACUGUUUGUUGAUGGCUCUGCUUCCAGGGACCCAGCCACAGGCAAAAAUGCAGUAGGUUAUGCGGUAGUGUCGACCCAUGCCACACUCCAAUCUGGCCCUUUGCCACAACACUAUUCUGCCCAGGCUGCGGAAUUGGUUGCACUCACUGAAGCCUGUAAAUUAGCUGAGGAUAAAACUGUGACUAUUCUAACUGAUUCUCCAUAUGCUUCUCAAUAUGCAUUUGGGGUUGUGCAUGAUUUUGGGGCUAUUUGGAGACAUAGAUUUUUUUUUUUAAAUCUGAUGGUAAGCCUAUUCUUGAAUUUCCCCUUGGAUUAAUAAAUUAUCUAUCUAUCUAUCUAUCUAUCUAUAUAUUCUGCAUCAUGACAAAGUGGCUGCGUUACUGGAAGCAAUAUUGCUCCUCAAAGCAAUUGCUGUGUGUAAAUGUCAGGCACACACUAAUGGCACUGAUCCCGUCUUUGGGUAAUGCGAGGGCUGACGCUGCUGCCAAGGCCGCAGCUGCUCUGACCCUCAAUGUGACUGCAUCUUGUCCUGUUUUAACCUCUUCUCUCCCACAAGACUUACUUGCUUUGCAAACGUUUGCCUCUCAGGGUGAACGAGACCCCUGGCGCCGUAAUGGCUGUAUCCUUUCAAAUGGGGUUUGGCAGAGUGCUGAUGGGAAGCCCUGCCUACCACGUCACUUCUUUACACAUUUUGCUAAACUAACGCAUGCGUUGGACCAUGCGUCAAAAGGAGGGAUGUUUGAGAUGAUAAAUAAAAAAAUGGUUUUACUGCAUAUGACCAAGAAUACUGUCAAAAAUGUCUGAUUUGCAUGACGCAUAAUGUAGGGAAAGGAUGACCUCAACCACUGGCAGCCCACCAACCACUUGAAAAAACCUUCUGAUCAUGUAAUAAUGGAUUUUAUUGAAUUAACACAGUGAAGAAAAAACUAAAUAUUGCUUGAUAUUUGAAUGGUCAGCUUGUUUGAAAUAACCAGUAUUUAACCAAAUAUUGCUUGAUAUUUGAAUGGUCAGCUUGUUUGAAAUAACCAGUCAAUAUGGAGUAUGGACAGAUAGGGAAAGAUAGCAUUUCCACUGGAUAUUGUCAUGAUCAAAUGCUCAAGUAUUCUGCAAGCAUGUCUUCUGUUUUUAUCUCAGAUAUCUAGGCAAGUCAAGGUUCCCAACACCAUCACAAGGACCAUUACACAAUUACAAACCUUGUGACUAUGUGCUAAUCAAAGACUUUAGAAGGAAACACUGGAAGUCAAAAAGGUGGAACAGGCCAUAUCUGGUGCUUCUUACCACUCAAACAGCUGUCAAGGUAGCAGAAAGAGCCACAUGGGUGCAUGCCAAACGUGCACCAACACCGGACAUUUUGGAUUAGAGGGAUCAAAAUCCACCACAGGUUGAAAGCUCUCUGAGUCGGGGUAGGAGUGAUGGGGUGUGCCGCACUCCAAGCUCGCAACAGUCAAGAAAGCUGAUAUCUGGGUGGUGAGGCCCUUGAAGACAUCAUGAAGAGGAUACAGCUGUUUGAGUUGGAAAGAAGGGUUGUGCGAGAAGAGAAAAGUGUGAAACUGUGGGAACUAGGACUAUUGUUACUUAUCUGUUUUGUAACGGCAUUAGCUCUUCUGUGUGGAGGAGUGAAUUGCACCGAGGUCAAGAAGGUCUAGAGGACGUGACAAGACUGGCACACGAUCUACAAGAGCGGCAAAAGGCGGAUGGGAGGAUUGGCUUCCUAGUUUGUUCCCAGGACUCAAAGGCUGGUUUGUAAAAUGUUUAGCCCCUGUGAUGGUAGUGUUUAUUCUGUUAGCGUUUGUGGUUUGUUGUCAUACCUUGUGUUAGGGCUUUAAUUAUGCGCCUGGUUGAACGCACUGUGGGACUGCAAAUGGUUUAGUAUACUGCUUUAGCAAUGUAUGACAAGGAAGAUGAAGAGUGGCUACCACCCUUUAAUGACAUGACGACUCAAGCCUAAAGCUUAUGUGUAUGAGACGGAUUGUGUCUGAUGUGAUGGUUAUUAAAAAUAAUAAAAAGGGGGGAAUGUGAGGGGAAAAUGACAAAGUGGGACCUUAACCUUUGAUUUGAUACUUGUGUUUCUGUAUGAUUUCACACUUUUGAAUGGACUCUUCUGUGUUUAGCCUAGCUCGUGAUGUUCCGUAUAAUUGAUACUUCUAAUGCAGUGUGAAUUCACUUUUUCUGUUUAACACAAAUCUAGUUCUUAAAGUUCUUAUUAGUUCCUAUUAUUUGAUACUUCUGUUUCAAUACCUAAUGGUCCGAUGGCAAAUUAUGUGUUGUAUGACGUUAGAAAUGUUCUUAAUGUCCUUGAUUCUUAAAUAACCCAUUGUAUUGACCAAGUCAUGUGUAUGUGCAGAGAGGGUGUAAUGAUACAAUGAUACAAUGAGAUUAUGAUGCUGUGUGAGGUAUAAAUGUGUGUGUGAGAAAACAACUGAUUGUCUCUUGGGUGCACAGACUUUGUCUCUGUAUCCUGAUAGCCUGAUACUUAUGAGACCUCUCUGCGCAGAGAUUAAUAAACUACUAACAAGAAAGACAAA